This 256-nucleotide ribosomal RNA is filed under the name uncultured archaeon. RNAcentral's name for it is "partial 16S ribosomal RNA". It matches the Rfam family "Bacterial small subunit ribosomal RNA", at positions 521 to 776 of the family's 1533-position model. The record is from RNAcentral.
UAAUACGGAGGGUGCAAGCGUUGUCCGGAUUUACUGGGUUUAAAGGGUGCGUAGGCGGUUGAUUAAGUCAGUGGUGAAAUAUUCAUGCUUAACAUGAAGACUGCCAUUGAUACUGGUUAACUUGAGUGUGAUUGGGGUACUCGGAAUUUAUGGUGUAGCGGUGAAAUGCAUAGAUACCAUAAGGAACACCGAUAGCGUAGGCAGGGUACCAAGUCAUUACUGACGCUGAGGCACGAAAGCGCGGGUAUCAAACAGG